This 2400-nucleotide long non-coding RNA is filed under the name Erythranthe guttata (spotted monkey flower). RNAcentral's name for it is "long non-coding RNA (EGUT_LNC000221)". The record is from RNAcentral. Lineage: Eukaryota; Viridiplantae; Streptophyta; Magnoliopsida; Lamiales; Phrymaceae.
ACCCACAACAUCCAAACUCUAUAAAAGCCGAACCUCCCACCACCACCGCCACCGCCACCGCCACCGCCAUCAAUAAUUAAUUCAAAAAUAUUCUCUCCACCGGAAAAUAUGAGCGAUAGCAUUCACCGGCGGCCCUACUAUUUCUCUGGCUGCAUGUCGCCGUCGUGCGUUCCGGUGCACGAACAGUACAGCCGUGGCGCUCACGCGAGCAGCGGCGGCGGCGGCGAAAAGAGCCACCGCAGCCGGAAACUGCGGAAACUACUCCGAAAGAUAGUGAGCGAAAGCAAGAGUAUUUACGGGUCGGCGGCGGCGAGGCACAGGCACCUCAAUUUCCAGUACGACGCCGUAAGCUACUCUCAGAACUUCGACGACGGCUACCACAGAGACGACGAGUGCGGCCGCCGCUGUCAGUACGUUUCCGAUCAGGAUUUUAUUUGGCCGCAACACUUUGUACAUAAGAAGUAAUUAAUUAAUCUUUUAAGUUUUUUUUUUUUAAUUUCCCUCCAUUUUCGUUAUAAUAAUUCAAUUUCAACUCAGCACCAAAUCACAUGAGAGAGAGAGAGAGAGAGAGAGAGAGAGAGAGAGAGAAAAGUGAUUAAACGCAAUUAUCUAUGCUGUUUUGGUUUAUUCCGUGAGAAAUUUGAAUAUAUAAUUAUCAAUUAAAUCUACGACUACUACAUUAGAACCUCCAUAAAUUAGGAAAAUUACAGUUUUCACCCGUCAAGUUUGCAUCAAUUUCAUAUCACAACAAAACAUAUUUGGUCAUUCAUGUUCCAAUAAUUUAACAUUUUUGGUCAUUUCCGUCAAUUUACCGUUAGUCCGUUAGUUAAGGCAGUCACAGAACACACUUGGUUCCAUUAGUUUUAACUGAAAAUUAACAUAAAUGACUAAAAAUGUUAAAUUUUUGAAACAUAAGGGACCAAAUAUGUUUUUUUGUGAACAUGUGGAACCAAAUGUAAAAUCGGUGCAAACUUGAGGGACGAAAACUGUGUUUUUCCCUCCAUAAAUUUAUAUUGAUACAUUAUUAAUGGCAAAAAUACAGUUUUUGUCCCUCAAAUUUACACCAAUUUCACAUUUGGUCCCUUAUGUUUUAAAACUUCAACACUUUUAGUCCUUUUCGUAAAUUUUCCGUUAAAACUAACCGAAUCAAGAGUGUGCACAUCACUGUCUUAACUAACAUACUAACAGUAAAUUGACGAAAAUGACCAAAAGUGCUAAAUUAUUGCAACAUGAGGGACAAAAUGUGUUUUUUGUGAACAUGGGGACCAAAUGUGAAAUCGGUGCAAACUUGAGAGAUGAAAAUAUAAUUUCCUCGAUUAAUAAUCUCGUUUAAAUAAUAAGUUCUCUGUCUUGACUUAAGGACAAAAUUCUAAAAAAUAUUUCACUAAAUUAAUAGAGAAUUUGGCUGGUCUCAACUGUAUUAAUUAAUUAUAAAUAUGUAAGCGCAAAAAAACAAUUUAAUUGAUUUUUCUUGUAAAUAGAUCGAACCAUAGUUUUCAAUGAUUAAUCUAAGUAAUACCUUAUAGAUUGCAGAAAUAAUAUACUCUUGUAAAUAGAUCAAACCAUAGUUUUCAAUGAUUGAUUCAUCUAAGUAUGACCUUAUAGAUUUGCAGAAUUAAUAUACAUUUAUUUAAUUUUCACCUUUCUUUUAUAUAAAUUAAAUCAAUGACCAUUAUAUUCACCAAUAAUUAACUUUGGUUUUAGUUUAAUUACUGAGUAAUUUGGACCUAAUUUUGUUGGUAAUAAUUCGAAGUCCAGAAAAAAAAAAUUGAAACUAUACACGGUGCAGUUGAAGCAUUUCUGCUUGUUUUCGUGAUUGGAUUCCGUUUGCAUUUUCCACGUUUUUUUUGAGCAAUCUACGCUUAUAUUGAGCACAUGAAAUCCGAUUUCAAAAGCACAUGAAAAUAUGUAAGAAUAAUAUUACUCCAUAUAUAACAAAGUACUUUUCAAGCUUAAUAUGUAGAAGUACUUAUUCAACGGUAACUAAUCCAUUAAUAAUGUCAUAAAAGAAUUGGAGCUUUAAUUUCUGGUUUUAAUUAACUACACGGUCAGUGGAAUCACUACACGAUACAACGACAACACGAAUACAAUGUUUGUAUUUCAAAAUAACAAAUCAGCGAAUAUAAUCUUACAAUUCAUUUUCAAUUAAGCUGAUCUCGAACACGAUGUCAUACCAAGUCGAUCAGCAAUUUUUAUUACGAAGGAUAGAUAUAUAUAUAUUUUUUAAUUAAUUUUUUUUUUAUCGAAUUUUAUACCUUGAUUCGGUUGUUCUUGUUGGCGUUUCAAUAUUAUCUGGUUGUGCAGGCUGGCUUAGCUGAAGCUGAAUCGGCCCAUCGUUAAUCGUUAAACCGAACGAAAGAAAGCCACUUCCAUUAUUAGGUACAAAAAUUUCCCUUGCUC